Molecule: ribosomal RNA, 1088 nt
Filed under: uncultured archaeon
Lineage: Archaea
Description: bacterial SSU rRNA
Rfam family: Archaeal small subunit ribosomal RNA
Source: RNAcentral
GAGGAGCCUGGAGAUGGGCACUGAGACAAGGCCCAGGUCAUAUGGGGCGCAGCAGGCGCGCAACCUCCGCAAUGGGCGAAAGCCCGACGGGGUCAGUCCGAGUGGCUCCCGCUAAGGGAGUCUUUCCGCCAGCUGUAAACAGGCUGGUGAAUAAGGGGUGGGCAAGCCUGGUGUCAGCCGCCGCGGUAAUACCAGCACCCCGAGUGGUCGGGAUGAUUAUUGGGCCUAAAGCAUCCGUAGCCGGUGUAACAAGUCCUCCGUUAAAUCCACUCUGCUUAACAGGUGGGCUGCGGAGGAUACUGUUACACUAGGAGGCGGGAGAGGCGAGGGGUAUUCCACGGGUAGGGGUAAAAUCCUCUGAUCCGUGGAGGACCACCAGUGGCGAAGGCGCCUCACCAGAACGCGCUCGACGGUGAGGGAUGAAAGCUGGGGGAGCAAACCGGAUUAGAUACCCGGGUAGUCCCAGCCGUAAACGAUGUAGGCUCGGUGAUGGACUGGCUCCGAGCCAGUCCAGUGCCGCAGGGAAGCCGUUAAGCCUACCGCCUGGGGAGCACCAUAAGGGGUGAAGCUGCGGUUCAACUGGAGUCCACGCCGGGAAUCUUACCAGGGGCGACAGCAGGAUGAAGGUCGGGCUGAAGACCUUACCAGACGAGCUGAGAGGAGGUGCAUGGCCGUCGCCAGCUCGUGCCGUGAGGUGUCCUGUUAAGUCAGGUAACGAGCGAGACCCUCGUCCCUAAUUGCUACCAUCAUUCUCAGGAAUGGUGGGGGGAAUUAGGGAGACUGCCGUUGUUAAAACGGAGGAAGGAGAGGGCCACGGCAGGUCAGUAUGCCCCGAAACCCUUGGGCCACACGCGGGCUGCAAUGGUAGGGACAACGGGUUCCAAACUCGGAAGAGUGAGGUAAUCCUUUAAACCCUACCCCAGUUAUGAUUGAGGGCUGGAACUCGCCCUCAUGAAUCUGGAAUCCCUAGUAAUCGCGCGUCAACAUCGCGCGGUGAAUACGUCCCUGUCUCCUGUCACACACCGUCCCGUCGUCUUCAUCCGAGCCGGGUCUGUGCGAGAGGUACCAAGUUGGUAUCAUCGAACGUG